This 1772-nucleotide long non-coding RNA is filed under the name Mus musculus (house mouse). RNAcentral's name for it is "long non-coding RNA chr19:7382536-7384308". The record is from RNAcentral. Lineage: Eukaryota; Metazoa; Chordata; Mammalia; Rodentia; Muridae.
GGACCGGACAGGGAAGGGCCCUCUGGGGCUGCAGAUGCCGGCCCAGGGAAGCGCCUGGGGACCGGGAACCGGGGACCGGGACCUGGAGAUCUAGUCCCGGACCACCAAGCGGAAGUGAGGUGUCCCCCCCCUCACCUCGGAGCAUCGGCUCGGGCCGCGGGAUCACGGCCACCACCACGGCCUCGUCGUCAUCAUCCCCUUCCUCACACUUGAGCGUCACCUCGAAGCAAUCCAGAGCCGCGGCGCCCUUGGCUUUCAGGGCCAUGGCGAGGCGAAGAAGGGCGACCGGAUAGCCGAGGACGUUCGCACAGACCUCGGCGCACCGCCUGUGGCGGCCGCCUCCUGCCCCGGACCACCCCGGGCCCGCGGCUCGCCUAGCUCACCCGCCGCUCGCCCGGCCGCCCCGCCAGCCACGGGCUUCAACGCGUCACGACCCCGGGCGGGGAGGGUUCGAUCCGGGGCCCCCAACCCCGCCGCUCCCUUUUAUGGAGGCUCAUUGUCAGCGUCCGUCCGGCAGUCCCGCCUCCAGACCAGGCUGGCCAAUCACGUGAGGACACGCCCCCUAGCCCCGCCCCAGCCACAGGUCUGGGCCAGAACCCUGUGCAGCGCGUUUGUCUCUGGCCGGUUUGCUCGGCGGCGAAGCCUGGAGUUUUCCUGGGAGCGGCGCCGGCAGCCUUGGAGACCCGGUAGGGCAUCCCCACCAAUGGCUGGAGGAAAGGGCUGCUCGGCAUCUUACUUCUUGGCUUUCCCCUGACUAGCUGCCUGCCUGGGAGGCAACACAGACGAGAAAAGACCGGUGGGGAUGUGUGAAGGAUACAUAGGCUCAGAAGUGUGGAGACAUCUCUUCUAAUUUCUUUGGGCCUCGUUCCUUUCUACUAGCACAUACGCUUUAGGGAAAGAAAAAUCACUUUGGAUCCUCCUAAACAAAGAUUCUAGAAGAUGAAGAGGACAAGAGUGGCGUGUGGGCGUGUGUAAACCGCUUCCGAUGGAUAUAAUUUACGUUAAAAACAAAACAAAACAAAAAACGUGAGUCCAGAGAGUGUGGCCUUUUCCCAGGACACAGCAAAUCCCCUGAGAGCCUCCAAGACCGGGAUCCGGUUGCUAUGGCGCUGCUGCCUGGCAUUCGUGCCUGAGUGAAGACUGUCACAAUGGGCACUUACACUUCUGCAUAACAUCCCCUCCCCACACACAUACACACACCAGACACGCUAGAUUUCAGCUGAGAAACGGCAAAAAUGUCUGGCACUCAAAAUUCUGAUUUUAAGUGCUACCAACAGUAAUUAUCAGCCCAGAAACAGUAAUUGUGGAUGAUGUAGGAGGCUAGGGGACAGAAGAGAAACAGUUCACUUACCGUAUAUUGUGUGUGUGUGUGUGUGUGUGUGUGUGUGUGUGUGUGUGUGUGUUUGUGUGUGCGCGCGCGCCCUGGGCAUACCCACCCCCCCCCCAUCCACUGCAUAACCAGCUUUUAUUUUGUUGAGAUAAGGACUCACUUUCAUGUCAGUCUGACCUGGAAUCUGUGUAACCCUGCUUGCCCCAAACCUUUUCCUCCUCCCUCCAUUCCCCUGGCACAAGGAUUAAAGGUCUGAGCUGACACCACAUACAGCAGCCACAAUAGAAAGAACUGAGGAAAUUUCUAUUACUUUGAAAUGUACCCAGUACUAAAAAGAUACUCCAAAUCAAGCAAUUUCCUAGGCCUGGAUAGUUCUUACCUAAAGGCUGUUCUUUGCUUUUUGCCCAAUGCCUCUGGGUAGGUAGUCUGUUCUGUUUUUGCA